Molecule: long non-coding RNA, 429 nt
Organism: Perca flavescens (yellow perch)
Lineage: Eukaryota; Metazoa; Chordata; Actinopteri; Perciformes; Percidae
Exons: 3
Source: RefSeq, a predicted model, not a curated record
GGCAGGAUUAGCUGGGAGACUUCUAAAUGAGGGCGCACAUAGUCAGAGAUCAUCAUCCGAUGAUUCAACGACAGUAGAGACAGGCAGAGGACGCGGACGAGGGAGAGGAGAGAGAGUAGGGAGAGGACAGAGAGGCAGAGGUGGAUUGCAUGCGGUAGGAGCAGGGCAAGCGACAGAAGAGGAAGCUGCCGCGGAGAGAACCGGAGCCAUCCCAUGACAAAGACGUGCAACGUCUAUAAGAGGGGUGACAGCUGGAACUGCUACAAGGUCCCGAAGAUAGGUGUUUUCGAGAGAGGACGAGGAGAGAGUGGAGGAGCUCCCAAGGGCAGAGAAGAGAAGAAACGCAGCACCUUCUGCAGGGCAUGAGCCUGGAGGACCACCGCCAUCUCACCUCUCAACUUUUGAAAUAGCAGCCAGGGCUAGUUUUUU